CCUACGGGAGGCAGCAGUGAGGAAUAUUGGUCAAUGGGGGAGAGCCUGAACCAGCCAAGUAGCGUGAAGGAUGACUGCCCUUCGGGUUGUAAACUUCUUUUAUAAAGGAAUAAAGUGAGGCAAGUGUGCCAUUUUGGAAGUACUUUAUGAAUUCUGAUCGGCUAACUCCGUGCCAGCAGCCGAGGUAAGACGGAGGAUCCGAGCGUUAUCCGGAUUUAUUGGGUGUAAGGGGAGCGUAGAUGGGUUGUUAAGUCAGGUGUGAAAGUUUGCGGCUCAACCGUAAAAUUGCAAUUGAUACUGGCAGUCUUGAGUACAGUUGAGGUAGGCGGAAUUCGGGGUGUAGCGGUGAAAUGCUUAGAUAUCACGAGGAACUCCGAUGGCGAAGGCAGCUUACUAAACUUUCACUGACACUGAGGCUCGAAAGUGUGGGUAUCAAACAGGAUUAGAUACCCCUGUAGUC
Molecule: ribosomal RNA, 460 nt
Filed under: uncultured bacterium
Lineage: Bacteria
Description: partial 16S ribosomal RNA
Rfam family: Bacterial small subunit ribosomal RNA
Source: RNAcentral